CAUUCAGUAAGCAAUAUAUAAAUCCUGCCUGCAGCUGCAAAAGGGCUCCUGUCUUCAGUACCCACUUCAUUUAUUUGAAAACAAAGCAAAGAACCUCGCUCAACAGCUUUUACAGGAACUUGGGUGAGUCACAUAUGACUGCCGUGACCGUUUCCAUCUGUGAUCCUAACUAUGAAUAUCCCUAACUAUGGCGUAAACAAAGGUCUCACUCUGUUUCCUGGGC
This 223-nucleotide long non-coding RNA is filed under the name Homo sapiens (human). RNAcentral's name for it is "HSALNT0028638". The record is from RNAcentral. Lineage: Eukaryota; Metazoa; Chordata; Mammalia; Primates; Hominidae.